GCGUCAGUGGUAUAGUGGCAGCAUGCGAGCCUUCCAAGCUUGCGACCCGGGUUCGAUUCCCGGCUGACGCACCA
RNAcentral lists this transfer RNA (74 nucleotides) under Badhamia polycephala. Its description in RNAcentral is "Physarum polycephalum tRNA-Gly". It matches the Rfam family "tRNA". From Rfam's summary of the family: Transfer RNA (tRNA) molecules are approximately 80 nucleotides in length. Their secondary structure includes four short double-helical elements and three loops (D, anti-codon, and T loops). Lineage: Eukaryota; Evosea; Eumycetozoa; Physariida; Physaraceae. The record is from RNAcentral.